RNAcentral lists this unclassified non-coding RNA (1688 nucleotides) under Hevea brasiliensis (rubber tree). Lineage: Eukaryota; Viridiplantae; Streptophyta; Magnoliopsida; Malpighiales; Euphorbiaceae. The record is from RNAcentral.
UUUUGAUUCAGUCCCAUAAACAGUAGAAAAGGAAUCACAAAGGAGAAAAAGAAAAUGCCACAACAUCACCUUGUGUCAUUAAACUAUUAAUACAGCAUCAAAAACAUCAGAUUUAAAUUCCCAACAUAUCAAUCUUUUGCCUUUUCCAUCUCAUGCACUUUUUUCCCUUCCUUUGCACCUUGUCUUGCUUGCAAAAUUUAGCUACUCAGUGCCUCCUUUCUCAAGUUUUCUGAUAUUCCCAGCCUUCUCUCUUUCCGUCUCUCUAUGAUCCAAGAAAGCUUUGAUUCUUCAAGUUUUAUUUAUAUAACUUAUGCAAGAAUGAUAUUUAAACUCUUCUUUGCAUUAACACCAUUGGUGCUUCUCCUAGCUUCUCUGUCAUUGUUCUUGACAAGCAAGGAAAGUUCAAAAAAACAUUUUAGAAGCAGCUCAGAGACAUGGGUCCUCAAGUUGUUCAAUAUUUCACAAUCUUCCUCUCCUUUCUUUUAUUCGCCUCAGGUUCAAGCGUUGCAGAAACACCUCCACUGGAAGAAAUCCAGAAAGCCAGAAUAGCAGACAACCAAGAAAACCAAAUACCUUUUGCAUUUCCAGUCUUCACCACUCAAUUUGACGCUACAGGUACGGUUCCCAUUGUCAACCCAACAACUCCUGGAACAACAAGCCCUAUUGUAAAUCCAAUAGAGCCACCUCCAGCACCAGCUAUAGUCACAACACCGCCAACACCUCCAGCCACCACUACUCCAACACCUCCAGCCACCACAACUCCAUCCUCAUCAGGAGGUUCAUGGUGUAUUGCAAGUCCAACUGCUUCAGAAACUGCUUUACAGGUAGCUCUUGACUAUGCUUGCGGGUACGGUGGUGCAGAUUGUUCAGCCAUUCAAUCAGGUGCAAGUUGUUAUAACCCAAACACUGUCCGGGACCAUGCUUCUUAUGCCUUCAAUGAUUACUACCAGAAGAAUCCAAUUCCUACAAGUUGUGUCUUCGGAGGAACAGCACAACUUAUCAACACUGACCCAAGCAAUGGCAACUGUCACUUUGCUUCGCCCAAAUCAACACCCAGCUUAAGUCCACCAGUGAACCCAACCCCAACAACUCCAGCCACUCCAACUACGAUGUCUCCACCAAUAACAGCCACACCUGGUGGAUCAACAAUUUACGGUGUGGCAGAACCAACAGGCUUGCCCAGCUCAGCCUCCUCUGUUUCAUUCAGCUUACUGCUCCUCUGUUCCACAAUGGCUACCGUGGGAUCACUUCUUGCUGCAAAUCAUCUCUAACCAUAUGGGAAUUAUGUUUUUUUGCUCUCUUAAAUGAGAUGGCAGUUUCCUUGGUUGCCACCAAAUAUCGUCAGCUUCUGAGGAGGCAGUGAGUAUCAACAUCAAGAUGUUCUCUCAAGGCCUCAUUGUCACCAUAAAAUCUAUUUGCUAUACUCCUUCUAUGGAUGCAUAUUAGUUGAUUAAGAAGCCCCCAAAAAUGAAGUAGAGCACAGAAUGUCUUAGGUUCUUGUACUUGUAGGCAAGUUAGAUUAGUCAUUUUCUCUUCAGUUCUAGCAUAAUAAAGUAUUAGAUGAGAUCCUAUGGCUUUAGAACUACAUAAACAGAGGAGAAAGAUAUAUUUGUUAUUGGCUACCACAUGAACUUUUUGAAUGAGAUGAGCAAGAGCAACAAUAAACUUUCAGAAAAUAAUGAUUCGAA